This is a long non-coding RNA of Cyprinus carpio (common carp), 469 nucleotides long. RefSeq lists it as uncharacterized. Lineage: Eukaryota; Metazoa; Chordata; Actinopteri; Cypriniformes; Cyprinidae. The transcript is spliced from 3 exons. The record is from RefSeq and is a predicted model, not a curated record.
AGAGUCCGUGAAUAUUUCCUGUAAGUGAGUGGUUUAAGUGAAGCUCAGCUCAGAAGAAACCUGAUCAGUGUUUUGUGUAAGACUUUGCUGCAGGCGGGGAUGAAGCUGGAGGACAUGCAGAGGAUACCUGAGGCUGUGCAGCACAUCGAGAAGGCCAGCGUGAUGAACGUGGAGAACGGCACUCCAGACACCGCCGCCAUGGCCCUGGACAAAGCCGGGAAGUGAUCGGCUAGACUCAUACAGCACCUGAGCACGUGAGAUGUGUGUGGGGUUAAUGAAUCCUGUCCCGUUGCAGGCUGAUCGUACCUCUGGACUCAGCCAAAGCCACUCAUCUGUACCAGCAGGCAGCAGGAGUGUCCGAGAAAACCAUCGCACAAGUGCUGGUGCAUCUGCACAGAGGAGACUACCUGGCGGCGGAGAAGUGUGUGCGGGAGAGCUACAGUACCCCAGGAUUCAGCGGGCGCGGGAG